RNAcentral lists this ribosomal RNA (497 nucleotides) under uncultured bacterium. RNAcentral's name for it is "partial 16S ribosomal RNA". It matches the Rfam family "Bacterial small subunit ribosomal RNA", at positions 28 to 507 of the family's 1533-position model. The record is from RNAcentral.
GAUGAACGCUGGCGGCGUGCCUAAUACAUGCAAGUCGAGCGAACAGACGAGGAGCUUGCUCCUCUGACGUUAGCGGCGGACGGGUGAGUAACACGUGGAUAACCUACCUAUAAGACUGGGAUAACUUCGGGAAACCGGAGCUAAUACCGGAUAAUAUAUUGAACCGCAUGGUUCAAUAGUGAAAGACGGUUUUGCUGUCACUUAUAGAUGGAUCCGCGCCGCAUUAGCUAGUUGGUAAGGUAACGGCUUACCAAGGCAACGAUGCGUAGCCGACCUGAGAGGGUGAUCGUCCACACUGGAACUGAGACGCGGUCCAGACUCCUACGGGAGGCAGCAGUAGGGAAUCUUCCGCAAUGGGCGAAAGCCUGACGGAGCAACGCCACGUGAGUGAUGAAGGUCUUCGGAUCGUAAAACUCUGUUAUUAGGGAAGAACAAAUGUGUAAGUAACUAUGCACGUCUUGACGGUACCUAAUCAGAAAGCCACGGCUAACUACGUG